RNAcentral lists this unclassified non-coding RNA (4958 nucleotides) under Hevea brasiliensis (rubber tree). Lineage: Eukaryota; Viridiplantae; Streptophyta; Magnoliopsida; Malpighiales; Euphorbiaceae. The record is from RNAcentral.
GCCAGGUGUACCAUCUUCCGUCCUUUCCCAGAUUCUACUACUCAACAGCAGUCUGACAAACAUCGAUUCCCGAGAAAAUCAAAUUCCACAAUCUGAUUCCCCCGACACUCUGGAAAAAUUAAUGGAAUCCAAGAAAUUGGCUGCUCUUCUUUCUUCUCUCAUCUCUCAACUUCUUCUCCUCCUUUUACUCAUUUUCCCUUCCUCCAAUUCCUUUGAUUCCAAUACCAAUUCCUAUGCUAACCUUUUACCUCUUCUCCACCAUUUCCUCUCCUCCCAAGAAAUUUCUGCUUUCCUUUCUCUCUUCACUUUUUCCAGGAAAAGGAAGAGAACCUAUCUCUCAGAACUGGACUCUGAGUCCACCCACGAAGACGGAGACCAUGAACACGGACCUCGACUCAGUGAGUGGGACCGAGUUACUCGGAACCCUGACUCGUAUAAAACCUUUUUCAGAAUGAGCUCUUCAACCUUUGAAUGGCUCUCUGGCUUGCUUGAACCGUUGCUAGAAUGCCGUGACCCGAUUGGAUCACCGCUUAAUCUUUCUGCUGAACUCCGGCUAGGUAUCGGUCUGUUUAGAUUGGCUACCGGGUCAAAUUAUUCUGACAUCGCUGGCCGAUUUGGCGUCACUGAGUCAGUGACUCGGUUUUGUGCUAAGCAAUUGUGCCGGGUCUUAUGCACCAAUUUUCGCUUCUGGGUUGCAUUUCCUUCCCCUGCUGAGCUUCAAUUGGUGUCAAAAGAUUUUGAAACUCUUACAGGAUUACCAAAUUGUUGUGGUGUGAUAGGAUGUGCUAGAUUCAAGCUUGAUGGGAAGAAUGAUUGCAAAUUAGCUUCAGACGGCAAGGAUCAAGAUGAUAGAAUUGCUGUUCAAAUUGUUGUGGAUUCAUCUUCAAGAAUUUUAAGUGUAAUCGCUGGAUUUCGUGGAGAUAAGGGUAAUUGUAAGAUACUUAAAUCGACAACUUUGUACAAGGAUAUUGAAGAAGGGAGGCUAUUGAAUUCGAGCCCAGUUAUUGUCAAUGGUGUGGCCAUAAAUCAGUACCUAAUUGGAGGAAAAGGGUAUCCUUUACUUCCUUGGUUAAUGGUUCCAUUUGUUGAUGCUUUGCCUGGAUCAUAUGAAGAGGUAUUUAAUACAGCAAAUAAUUUAAUGCGAGUUUCUGCAUUUAGAACUGUCGCUAGCUUGAAAAAUUGGGGUGUUUUGUGUAAACCAAUCGAAGAGGAGCUUAAGACUGCUGUUGCUUUUAUUGGCGCAUGCUCGAUCCUUCAUAAUGCUUUACUAAUGAGGGAGGAUGAUUCUGCACUGCUUGAUGUGGGAGAUUAUUCUUUAUAUGAUCAAGGUCCUCAGUGCUGUGAUGCUGAUUUGGAGGAGACUUUGAUUGAAAGAAAGGCUUCUGAUAUAAGAAUUGCGUUGGCUACAAGAGUUAAAGAAUUUCAGAAAUCCUGAGGAUCUCUGUUUACAAUUGCUCUUGCAAUAAUACAAAGAGAUUGCAUUGCCUGCUUAUUGUGGAAUUUGGAAGGAGGCUCAAUUCAACUUUUUUUGACAUAGGUAUUUGAGGAUUUUAUUCAUGAGAAUAAUAGAAUUCAAUGGGAUUUUUUUUUUCCUGAAACUAACCUUUUGAUUGUGGGAUUUAUUUUUUCUCUUUGUUUAACAAUUGUUCUUAGAUGUGUAGAUUUCAUCAGCUUUUGCAAUUGACAAAGUGAAACAUACGGGAUUGUUUUUCACACUUGAAAAUUGUGGAUGUUAUUUGCUGCAAAAUAUUUUUUUAUUGCUAAUUAGAUGGCUUUACUCUUGGAUUAUUCUAUGCGAACUCUUGGGUUGAGGAACUCUCAAGUGAUGAUAUUUUAUAACCUUCUUCUUUUUAUCCUUCAUUUAUUCCUGGGGCCUGUGCUUGAAUAGAAUUAUAUCAGUCUUAACUUUCUGAUCAUUAAAUGCAGUUGGUGAAGAUUUUUUCAUGUAGAUGUUUCUGUCGCAAAAAUUGAACGAUAAUGAUGGCCUAGGAUUUUAUGUUGCGGAAGUGGGAUCUAGAUGGAGAGGAACAAGCAUAGUCAUCAAGUACUUGCAGUUGCAGUCUGAUUUUGUUUGAUGGUUUUGUUGUUUACUUUAUCAUGUUUAAUAAACAAAUGAAGUUUUAUUUAGGAAAUUCUGAAUCAAGUUUAUAUAGUCGAGGCAAAAUAAACAUUUUUAUACCUGCCAGAGACUCACAACCGAACAACUAACAAAGAAGUGAGCCGCAGCUAGCAUUGACACAUGUACAUAGUUUUCUUAGUCGCAUAACCACAAGCAUGCAUGUAGGAUUCAACAAGCCUCCUUUUCCGGCUUCAAAGGAGUUCUCAGCUUUAUGUUUCUGUACUUCUUGAAGGGAAAUGCAAAUUCAAUAAUAUAAUUCCUUAUGCCUCAUAAAAGUUACUGCAAGCUUUCAGGUACCAGAUUAGUCCCAAUAUUGUAGAUGAUAGCCAUCUUGAUUGAGCACCUAAGCAGCAAACUUGCUCACAGUCUUGAUAUUAUAGAUGGUAGGCGCAAAGCAAGAUUGUCAUAUUCCCCUGACAUCUUCCUGUCAUCAUUAAAUUUCCUUUUUCUGAUUAUUUUUUUUUCCUGUUUAGCCUCUGAUUUCAACUAAUCCUAGGUGAACUGACACUUAAAGAAAGAACAGUAAUAUUCUCAUACAAUUUCAAUUUCUUAUAAUUGAUCUAUUAUAGAGCAGGUCUUGUGUUUUAAGGCUAUAUUUGCCAACCAUGUCAAGAAGAAAAAGGAACUCUUUAUAUGCUUAUAUAAAAUCUCUUAUUUAUCCCUUGAUCACUGGCUGUUAACCAACUAUGAUUAACUUGGUAUAUUCAAAUCUAUGCACUUUUGCCACAUCAUGUGCAGUGCUGGAAACCGCAAGAAAGAAUGGCUUUCAAUUGUCACUAUGCCAUCUGGGGUUCACAGCCUUUGUUAUAACUAUGUUUGCAAUUCUUAAUGUUUAGGCAGCAAAGCAUGCGUCUAUCUUCUUCGACUCUUUAAUAAUUAUCUUUACAAACAUUGAGAUACCAUUCAGCUCAAAUUAUACUUUUGGUAUGUGAUCAUUGACUGAGCAGAUGAUGCUUACAAGUCAUUUAAGUAAUUUGUUGGGGAUGAAAGUUUGCUCUGCCAUCUAUAAUUCAUAGCUGUGCAUUGUUUGAUUUACAAUUUUUUAUGAUCAGAUCAGUUAGCAACAUGCAGGAGGAUAAUUGCGCUUGCUACAUCUAUCUUUUGAUCUUCUUUUGCAUCAGUUCUUCCACUUCUGUCAUGCAUUAUUUUUUUUUGGCACAAAUUAUGUGUGUUUACCAAUAAUUUGUCAUGAAUUGAGUUGAUCAUCAUGAAGGUAAGCGUGAAAAUAUUUCUUGCCAUGAAAUUGUAAGGUACUCUCUCUCUAUCUGAAGCCGAUAUGAAAUUGAUGAAAAGAAAUUUCCUUUGUCAAAUGUUCUACCUAGAUACAAACUAAAUUUCAACUUGUUAUUCUCAAAGCUUGAUGUUGAACCAACUAUGAGAUGAUAUAGCUAUCAGGAAUUGAACCAAUUAAAAGGAAGUCUCACAAGGCAAGGAUCAAUGCAACAGAAGUCAUGUCAGGCCAUCAUUUGACUGCAAUUCAAGGUUUGAACUUGGAAGAUUAUGUCCAUAUUUUUUUUUUAUCUUUCUUCAAAGAGACAUGUCAAUUUUUUUCCCAUUUCUGUAUUAUGAUGCUGACAGAAUUAUGAUCUUCUAGAUCAGCUAAUCAUAUUCUUACUAAUGAUACUUCCAAAAGAAUCCAUGUUUCGGAAUUAUGUUCAUGUGACAUUAAUAUCUACUUCUUAGAUAAUUUAGGUAGAAUUAGAGGCUUCCAUACUCAUAAAUGCAAUAGGAAAGAACUAUUAAACAAUUUUGGUUUCUUUGAAGUGGGCGAUAGGAUUAUCAGUGGUUAUUAAACAUUAUAAUAUUGCCCUUUAUUAUUGCAAUUUCACAUUUUUGAAGUAGAGAGACAUUUUAAGGAAAGUUGUUUUCAGGAAGAUUUUCUCAUUUAUUACACUUGUUUUUUUGUUUUUAUUAUUAUUAUUAGAUGAUAUCCAACCUCAUCACCAUAUGAGUAUUUAUAAUAUGGUUGCAGAACACACAGCAAUUUAGCCACUCUAUGGAAGUUAAAAGAAUGAAAUAUACCUAUUUUCUAAUAGCUGUAAGAAUUCAUAUUGGGCUAAUCAAUGAUUUGUAUGCCAAUAGCAGAUUGUUUAUUUGGUGAAUUUUCACUGAAUGCUGCAUAUUUAUGGUUCAAACUACAAUGCAGAAGCAUUUCCCUAGGGAGCCGCUAUGAAUAGUUUGCCUACGCUUUCAGACGUGUAUAAGGAACAGCAGCCUCACCCCUUCAUCAGCUGUGCGACAAUGGAGAAGGAACUACUGAGCAUAUCUUCCUUUUCUUCCCUCAUGCCCAAACGACCUUUCAAGUUAUGACUCAAAUCCCUCAAAUUUCUCUUCUUUCAGCAUUUGGUGGGUGAUGAAAUACUAAAUGAGUUCAACAUAACAUUACAACAUUCAAGACUGCUUAGAUUUGUAAUCCAGUUUUGUCAAUAUCGGGUAAGGUAAGCAGUGGCUCUGGGGCUGUCACAAAAUGAGUGAAUCUAAUCGACCUGAAACAUGAACAUUUUUCUUAACAUUCUGAACGCAGAAGCCAAUUUCCUUAGCAAAAUCCAUGAAUAUCAGCUCAUACUCAGACAGAUGCAGCCUAUGCCUUAGCAGCUUAGCUUAAUGACAACAAUAAGCUAGGUUCCUUGGGAAGUAGAUACAAGCAUUCAAAACAUAAAAUAAAAGCUAAUACUAAGAGCAGAUUGAAGCUUCAGGACAUAUUUGGCAUUGGCAUUACACAUAGCUAUGAAAAUGUCCAUAAUAAGAAUUUCUGUUAGAGAAUGAAUAGUUAUUUGCAGGAAUUUAUUAGUGCAAUUUAAUAGAUGUUUGAAAAAUUUUCAAAUAACCAGCUUUUGGC